Non-coding RNA from Desmophyllum pertusum, 79 nucleotides. NCBI's taxonomy places the organism in Eukaryota, Metazoa, Cnidaria, Anthozoa, Scleractinia, Caryophylliidae. The record is from the annotation of a GenBank genome assembly.
UCCCACGUCAGUUUCCUGCAGCUGGUAGAGCGUCCGACCGGUGUGCGGAAGGUCGUAGGUUCGACUCCUGUUGGGGGAA